RNAcentral lists this ribosomal RNA (504 nucleotides) under uncultured bacterium. RNAcentral describes it as "partial 16S ribosomal RNA". It matches the Rfam family "Bacterial small subunit ribosomal RNA", at positions 28 to 523 of the family's 1533-position model. The record is from RNAcentral.
GAUGAACGCUAGCGGCAGGCUUAAUACAUGCAAGUCGAGGGGCAGCAGCUUUAUAGCAAUAUAGAGGCUGGCGACCGGCAAACGGGUGCGGAACACGUACACAACCUUCCUUUAAGAGGGGGAUAGCCCAUAGAAAUGUGGAUUAAUACCCCGUAACAUAUCGGUGUGGCAUCAAACUGUUAUCAGAGUUUCGCCGCUUGAAGAUGGGUGUGCGGCUGAUUAGGUAGUUGGCGGGGUAAAGGCCCACCAAGCCUUCGAUCAGUAGCUGAUGUGAGAGCAUGAUCAGCCACACGGGCACUGAGACACGGGCCCGACUCCUACGGGAGGCAGCAGUAAGGAAUAUUGGUCAAUGGACGCAAGUCUGAACCAGCCAUGCCGCGUGAAGGAUGAAGGUCCUCUGGAUUGUAAACUUCUUUUAUAGGGGGCGAAAAAAGGGAAUUCUUUCUCACUUGACAGUACCCUAUGAAUAAGCACCGGCUAACUCCGUGCCAGCCGCCGCAGUAA